RNA transcript from Diabrotica virgifera virgifera (western corn rootworm), 3955 nucleotides. RefSeq lists it as uncharacterized. The record is from RefSeq and is a predicted model, not a curated record. The transcript is spliced from 3 exons. NCBI's taxonomy places the organism in Eukaryota, Metazoa, Arthropoda, Insecta, Coleoptera, Chrysomelidae.
AGUACAUGUAAUAAUUAUUGUUACAUGUACUUGCACUGGACAACUUUCUUUGUGACACUGUGACAGGAAAAUACAGCGUGUUUUAUAUGUUCGUUCAUGGGUAUUCUUUCAUUUUUCCGACUGUAUAUAUUAUGUAAGUGUUAAAUUAGGCGAGCGGCAACAACCCCUAAAAUAACGUUAUACCACUUGAUACGCAUCGUAAUGUUCACCAAGAAUAGCUGAAAGUCUGAAAAUAACCACGCCCAUGAUGCGCAUUCGUCAUCCGACGGAUCUUGCACUGAGCGUUCACUUAAUAUCUACCGUUUGUAACGUGAACAAGUCGGUACAGUCUGCGAAACAUUCUUUGUAAGUACGAACCGCAAAGGAUCAAUUUAAAAUUUGCAAAUUUUGUUUAAAUCGAAUCUGAAGGGAAAAGUUUUAAAUAAUCAGACACGGGAAGUGAUAGCAAACGUGAUUCAUUUUAUGAUAAAUGAAGCGAAAAACAAUGAACCGUGUAGAGAUUUGAAAAAAGUGCAGGAACGUGUGGUAUUGGCGAAAGGUGUUAGUUUAAGCAGCGUUCAAAAAAUUGCUCGGGAAAUGCAAUUAAUUGAAGAUGGCGAAUAUUCCUCAUUUGUAACUCCAAACAAAAAGAGAAAAAAAAGCGCUUCAAAAACGUGCUUGGACGAUUUUGAUAUAGGGCGUCUUCGACGUUAUAUAAUGGAUUUUUGUAUAACACAAAAACAAGUCCCAACUGUGAAACGCAUACACAGAACAUUUGCAGAGGAGUACAACUACUCAGGUUCCAUAGAAAGCCUACGAACAGUAAUUAGAAAGAUGGGAUUUCGUUGGCGAAAAACCAGAACUAAUAGAAAAUUAUUAAUGGAAAAGCCCAAUAUUCAACAUAUUAGACUGAAUUUCUUACGUAGUAUGAAACGUUACAGGAACGCAAAUCGCCCAAUUAUAUACAUGGAUGAAACAUACGUCCAUUCAUCUCAUACCCACCAAAAGAGCUGGUCUGAUAGUUCAAACAAGGGCAUACAAAAACCAGUAUCUAAAGGACAGAUGCUUGUGAUAGUGCAUGCUGGAGGUGAAAGUGGUUUUGUUAAAAAUGCUUAUCUGCGCUACAAGCCUACGAUAAAAACAGGAGAUUAUCAUGAUGCAAUGAACUACGACAAUUACAAAAAGUGGCUUCAGGAUAAACUGAUACCAAAUUUGCCCCCGAACAGCGUUUUAGUGAUUGAUAAUGCACCGUAUCACAACGUACAAACUGAGAAAUGUCCAACUAUGUCUUCCAGGAAAGCAGAAAUGCAGCAGUGGCUGACAACGCGAAAUAUUUCCUUUACAGAUGACAUGUUGAAAUUUGAAUUAUACGACAUUAUAAAAUUACACAAACCUCUGUUUAAAACCUAUGAAAUUGACAAAAUACUCGAGGAUAAAGGACAUUCAGUUUUACGGUUACCCAAGAUAUUAUCCGGAUUUGAAUCCUAUAGAGUUAGUAUGGGCUUCUAUGAAGCAAUAUGUCGCUGAAAAAAAUGUCAGUUUUGAUUUUAAAUAAGUGAAAAGUUUGUGUGGACUGAAUAAAACGAUGACGACAAAUGCUAUGGAAAUGGAUACCAGAAAGGUUAUAAAUAUCUCUUUUAACAAAAGGUACUGGUACAAAGACACCAUAUUUAUGCUUCACCGGGACCGAACAUCUAAUUUCUAUUUAUUACCCUACUGCUUACGCCCUUUUUCUCCGAAACCUUUUGGUCAAUAUAAUGGUAAUAUAAAGUAUAAAUAGUCAAUAUAAAAAUAUAAUUUUUGGUUUAUAAUGCCAUAAUUUAUAGCAACACAAGCGGUUUUUGUUGGAUCUAUUUUAUUACAUCUCACUUUGUAAAAAAAAUACUACAAAUAUACUGAAGAAAAGUAAUGACAGUAAUAAUAAUUGUGUACGGGACCUAUUAGAAACUAUUCAAACUUUACGUUUCUAUAUUUGUGUCUCCGAUUGUACCUAUAUUUUAAAGUUCACCCGCGCGUACAGGCUAUCUUUUUCCUUCCGAGUGCGUUCUCACUUCAUUGUUCGCGCAGGCAGUUAGAAUUUCAGACUUUCAGCUAUUCUUGGUGAACUGUAUCCGCCAUGUUUUACCGUAGGGAGUGAUUACGAAACCUCUUUCCCUACGUUGUCGAUGCGAGUCAACUCGAAGGCACUGCUCGAUACCGACGACCAUAGAGAAAUAACAAUAAGGUAGAGAAAUAACAAUAUUGUUUUUAUUUCUCUAUGCCGACGACCCUAUCAAGUUGCCAACUCGAACUAUCUAUCUCACUCUAAUAGAUCUCUGAUCUCCUAUAACACUUUCUCUCUUGCCGGUCAAAGUAUAACAAUUAAGAAAAGUGAAUACAUAACGACAUAACCUACCUACUUCAUACUUUGAUUUCUUCAAUUUAAAAAUAAUGUAAAUAGUUAAUAAAACGAUAUUUAGAUUAUACGAUUUUGAUAACAAUUCUCAUGUUUUGAACACUCAAAAAAUAUAUUGUUUAAAUCUCCCAGUGAGGUGUUAUUACACUCAUUACACUGACAUGAGUUCUCUAAUACUUAUUCCUAUUUUUAAAAGAUGUGAAGGAAACGUCCAUGGUUAAUUUUUAUCCUUGUAAUAUUUGCAGAGUAAGAUUUAAGGCGAAAAGGUAAGAUAAGGAAUGCUCUGAGACAGAAUUCGAUGAAGGGAAUAGGUAUAGUUAGCAGUGACCAUUAAGAAUGUUAGUAAUAUUGUUAUAUAACGUCUCCCAUCUUUCCCUGGCCAUGUAAUCUUUAAUAAUGGUAAAAAAAUCAUAAUCUCAAAUUCUACUUAAGUUCGAAAAUCAUAUAUACAUAUUUAUGUAUCUAGGUGUACGUUAUCACUGAAUCAUCCUUAGAAUAUAUAAAAUAAACGUGUAUAAUAUUAAAUAUGGGAGUGCGGCCCUGCAUGGAGAUAAGAAAAAAUGUUGUUCCUAACACGGACUCCGUAAAAUUGUUAUUUUUAAGCGAUAAAACAAUAGUACAUUGUUUACCGGGUAGGAAAAGCUUAACAUUCAUGGACGACUGUGAAGAUUGCUAAGUCGAGGCGCAAGCCGAGACUUAAAAUAAACGUGUAUAAUAUUAAAUAUGGGAGUGCGGCCCUGCAUGGAGAUAAGAAAAAAUGUUGUUCCUAACACGGACUCCGUAAAAUUGUUAUUUUUAAGCGAUAAAACAAUAGUACAUUGUUUACCGGGUAGGAAAAGCUUAACAUUCCUGGACGACUGUGAAGAUUGCUAAGUCGAGGCGCAAGCCGAGACUUAGCAACACAGAGUCCAGGAAUGUGGCUUUUCCUACGAGGUAAACAUACUAUUUUUCCGCAAAUCGUUUAAAAUUCGACAGAUAUUGAUUGAUUUAAAAAAAAACGCGAUAAUUUUAUUCCCAAAUAAAUGGUGCUUUGAAAUUCCUAAUAAAAUUACUUGGGUUACUAUGGAAACGUAUUGAGGUUGAAUUGUCAAACUUGACGCUUAUAAAUAGAACACUAACAACUGUACGGAAAUAUCAUUUCCUUACAGUAAGGAAAUGACAUUUCCUUACAGUAAGGAAGUCCUGACUUUUUCUUCAAGAAAUUUUGACAGGAAUGUCAAAAUUUCCUGGCGAUUUGCGGAAAAGUAAUAAAUUGUGAAUUUGUGCCGAAUUAUAAUCGAAACUAGAUGUAGAAGCAUUUAAUUUGUUUGUAAAAUGGCGUUAUGCUUCACUUAUAUUUACUGGAACUUUAGCCUUCGGGGGAGUAAUAAUAUCUGUUUUGGUUUUUAGAGUUGUUCAUGGUUAUAUAGCCUGCUUUCAGUCAAUGAAGAAACAAUAAAUAUGUUAUGUGUAAAUAUUUAAUACGUUGCGUUGUCUAUCUCUUAUAGAAAGAAGUAAAAUAAAAAAUUCGUUUAACAAGGAAAUGAUUAUUUUUAUAAAAUAAAAAAAUACUCCUUUAUUUUUGUUAUCCUUAUCUUUAUC